RNAcentral lists this ribosomal RNA (253 nucleotides) under uncultured bacterium. RNAcentral describes it as "partial 16S ribosomal RNA". It matches the Rfam family "Bacterial small subunit ribosomal RNA", at positions 524 to 776 of the family's 1533-position model. The record is from RNAcentral.
UACGUAGGGUGCAAGCGUUAAUCGGAAUUACUGGGCGUAAAGCGUGCGCAGGCGGUCUUGCAAGACAGAUGUGAAAUCCCCGGGCUCAACCUGGGAACUGCAUCCGAAACUGCCUUGCUCGAGUAUGGGAGAGGGAAGCGGAAUUUCCGGUGUAGCGGUGAAAUGCGUAGAUAUCGGAAGGAACAUCAGUGGCGAAGGCGACUUCCUGGACCAAUACUGACGCUCAGGUGCGAAAGCGUGGGGAGCAAACAGG